Molecule: ribosomal RNA, 466 nt
Filed under: uncultured bacterium
Lineage: Bacteria
Description: partial 16S ribosomal RNA
Rfam family: Bacterial small subunit ribosomal RNA
Source: RNAcentral
GAUGAACGCUGGCGGCGUGCUUAACACAUGCAAGUCGAACGGUGAAGCCAAGCUUGCUUGGUGGAUCAGUGGCGAACGGGUGAGUAACACGUGAGCAACCUGCCCUGGACUCUGGGAUAAGCGCUGGAAACGGCGUCUAAUACUGGAUAUGAGCCUCUUCCGCAUGGUGGGGGUUGGAAAGAUUUUUUGGUCUGGGAUGGGCUCGCGGCCUAUCAGCUUGUUGGUGAGGUAAUGGCUCACCAAGGCGUCGACGGGUAGCCGGCCUGAGAGGGUGACCGGCCACACUGGGACUGAGACACGGCCCAGACUCCUACGGGAGGCAGCAGUGGGGAAUAUUGCACAAUGGGCGAAAGCCUGAUGCAGCAACGCCGCGUGAGGGAUGACGGCCUUCGGGUUGUAAACCUCUUUUAGCAGGGAAGAAGCGAAAGAGACGGUACCUGCAGAAAAAGCGCCGGCUAACUACGUG